RNAcentral lists this ribosomal RNA (253 nucleotides) under uncultured bacterium. RNAcentral's name for it is "partial 16S ribosomal RNA". It matches the Rfam family "Bacterial small subunit ribosomal RNA", at positions 524 to 776 of the family's 1533-position model. The record is from RNAcentral.
UACAGAGGUCUCAAGCGUUGUUCGGAUUCAUUGGGCGUAAAGGGUGUGUAGGUGGCGCGCUAAGUCGGGUGUGAAAUCUCGGAGCUUAACUCCGAAACUGCAUUCGAUACUGCCGUGCUCGAGGACUGGAGAGGAGACUGGAAUUUACGGUGUAGCGGUGAAAUGCGUAGAUAUCGUAAGGAAGACCAGUGGCGAAGGCGGGUCUCUGGACAGUUCCUGACGCUGAGGCACGAAGGCCAGGGGAGCAAACGGG